This 154-nucleotide small nuclear RNA is filed under the name Dasypus novemcinctus (nine-banded armadillo). RNAcentral describes it as "U1 spliceosomal RNA (ENSDNOG00000048379.1)". The stretch from base 1 to 133 matches the Rfam family "U1 spliceosomal RNA". From Rfam's summary of the family: U1 is a small nuclear RNA (snRNA) component of the spliceosome (involved in pre-mRNA splicing). Its 5' end forms complementary base pairs with the 5' splice junction, thus defining the 5' donor site of an intron. There are significant differences in sequence and secondary structure between metazoan and yeast U1 snRNAs, the latter being much longer (568 nucleotides as compared to 164 nucleotides in human). Lineage: Eukaryota; Metazoa; Chordata; Mammalia; Cingulata; Dasypodidae. The record is from RNAcentral.
CUACUUAUCCAGCAGGGAAGAUACCAUUAUCACAAAGGUGGUUUUCCCAGGGCAAGGCUGGAUCCAUUGCACUGGGGAUCUCCUGACCCCAUGUGAUUUCCCCACAUGAAAAAAAAAUUUUUUUUUUCUAAACAGUAUUCCAUUUGAGUUCUCA